RNAcentral lists this ribosomal RNA (435 nucleotides) under uncultured bacterium. RNAcentral's name for it is "partial 16S ribosomal RNA". It matches the Rfam family "Bacterial small subunit ribosomal RNA", at positions 29 to 507 of the family's 1533-position model. The record is from RNAcentral.
AGCGAACGCUGGCGGCAGGCUUAACACAUGCAAGUCGAGCGGGCACUUUCGGGUGUCAGCGGCGGACGGGUGAGUAACGCGUGGGAACGUGCCCUCUGGUUCGGAAUAACUCAGGGAAACUUGAGCUAAUACCGGAUACGCCCUUUUGGGGAAAGGCUUGCUGCCGGAGGAUCGGCCCGCGUCUGAUUAGCUAGUUGGUGAGGUAACGGCUCACCAAGGCGACGAUCAGUAGCUGGUCUGAGAGGAUGAUCAGCCACACUGGGACUGAGACACGGCCCAGACUCCUACGGGAAGCAGCAGUGGGGAAUAUUGGACAAUGGGCGCAAGCCUGAUCCAGCCAUGCCGCGUGAGUGAUGAAGGUCUUAGGGUUGUAAAGCUCUUUUAUCCGGGACGAUAAUGACGGUACCGGAGGAAUAAGCCCCGGCUAACUUCGUG